CGGUCCAGACUCCUACGGGAGGCAGCGGUGGGGAAUAUUGCACAAUGGGCGCAAGCCUGAUGCAGCCAUGCCGCGUGUGUGAAGAAGGCUCUAGGGUUGUAAAGCACUUUCAGUCGGGAGGAAAGGUUAUCAGUUAAUACCUGGUAGCUGUGACGUUACCGACAGGAGAAGCACCGGCUAACUCCGUGCCAGCAGCCGCGGUAA
RNAcentral lists this ribosomal RNA (204 nucleotides) under uncultured Oceanospirillales bacterium. RNAcentral's name for it is "partial 16S ribosomal RNA". It matches the Rfam family "Bacterial small subunit ribosomal RNA", at positions 327 to 523 of the family's 1533-position model. The record is from RNAcentral. Lineage: Bacteria; Pseudomonadati; Pseudomonadota; Gammaproteobacteria; Oceanospirillales.